UUGAACGCUGGCGGCAUGCCUUACACAUGCAAGUCGAACGGUAGAGGGGCAACCCUUGAGAGUGGCGAACGGGUGAGUAAUAUAUCGGAACGUGCCCAGUCGUGGGGGAUAACGCAGCGAAAGCUGCGCUAAUACCGCAUACGAUCUAUGGAUGAAAGCGGGGGAUCGCAAGACCUCGCGCGAUUGGAGCGGCCGAUAUCAGAUUAGGUAGUUGGUGGGGUAAAAGCCCACCAAGCCG
Molecule: ribosomal RNA, 238 nt
Filed under: uncultured bacterium
Lineage: Bacteria
Description: partial 16S ribosomal RNA
Rfam family: Bacterial small subunit ribosomal RNA
Source: RNAcentral